Molecule: ribosomal RNA, 868 nt
Filed under: uncultured bacterium
Lineage: Bacteria
Description: bacterial SSU rRNA
Rfam family: Bacterial small subunit ribosomal RNA
Source: RNAcentral
GCAAGUCGAACGAGUUCUCGUUGAUGAUCGGUGCUUGCACCGAGAUUCAACAUACAAUGAGUGGCGGACGGGUGAGUAACACGUGGGUAACCUGCCCCUAAGUGGGGGAUAACAUUUGGAAACAGAUGCUAAUACCGCAUAGAUCCAAGAACCGCAUGGUUCUUGGCUGAAAGAUGGCGUAAGCUAUCGCUUUUGGAUGGACCCGCGGCGUAUUAGCUAGUUGGUGAGGUAAUGGCUCACCAAGGCGAUGAUACGUAGCCGAACUGAGAGGUUGAUCGGCCACAUUGGGACUGAGACACGGCCCAAACUCCUACGGGAGGCAGCAGUAGGGAAUCUUCCACAAUGGACGCAAGUCUGAUGGAGCAACGCCGCGUGAGUGAAGAAGGCUUUCGGGUCGUAAAACUCUGUUGUUGGAGAAGAAUGGUCGGCAGAGUAACUGUUGUCGGCGUGACGGUAUCCAACCAGAAAGCCACGGCUAACUACGUGCCAGCAGCCGCGGUAAUACGUAGGUGGCAAGCGUUAUCCGGAUUUAUUGGGCGUAAAGCGAGCGCAGGCGGUUUUUUAAGUCUGAUGUGAAAGCCCUCGGCUUAACCGAGGAAGCGCAUCGGAAACUGGGAAACUUGAGUGCAGAAGAGGACAGUGGAACUCCAUGUGUAGCGGUGAAAUGCGUAGAUAUAUGGAAGAACACCAGUGGCGAAGGCGGCUGUCUGGUCUGUAACUGACGCUGAGGCUCGAAAGCAUGGGUAGCGAACAGGAUUAGAUACCCUGGUAGUCCAUGCCGUAAACGAUGAAUGCUAGGUGUUGGAGGGUUUCCGCCCUUCAGUGCCGCAGCUAACGCAUUAAGCAUUCCGCCUGGGGAGUACGACCG